This 1286-nucleotide ribosomal RNA is filed under the name metagenome. Its description in RNAcentral is "bacterial SSU rRNA". It matches the Rfam family "Bacterial small subunit ribosomal RNA", at positions 242 to 1520 of the family's 1533-position model. The record is from RNAcentral.
UAGCUAGUUGGUGAGGUAAAGGCUUACCAAGGCGACGGUCUGUAGCGGGUCUGAGAGGAUGAUCCGCCACACUGGAACUGAGACACGGUCCAGACUCCUACGGGAGGCAGCAGUGGGGAAUUUUGGACAAUGGGGGCAACCCUGAUCCAGCCAUGCCGCGUGAGUGAAGAAGGCCUUCGGGUUGUAAAGCUCUUUCGGCCGGGAAGAAAUCGCAUGGGCCAAUACCCUGUGUGGAUGACGGUACCGGAAUAAGAAGCACCGGCUAACUACGUGCCAGCAGCCGCGGUAAUACGUAGGGUGCGAGCGUUAAUCGGAAUUACUGGGCGUAAAGCGUGCGCAGGCGGUUUUGUAAGACAGGCGUGAAAUCCCCGGGCUUAACCUGGGAACUGCGUUUGUGACUGCAAGGCUAGAGUACGGCAGAGGGGGGUGGAAUUCCACGUGUAGCAGUGAAAUGCGUAGAGAUGUGGAGGAACACCAAUGGCGAAGGCAGCCCCCUGGGUCGAUACUGACGCUCAUGCACGAAAGCGUGGGUAGCAAACAGGAUUAGAUACCCUGGUAGUCCACGCCCUAAACUAUGUCAACUAGGUGUUGGGUGGGUAAAACCAUUUAGUACCGUAGCUAACGCGUGAAGUUGACCGCCUGGGGAGUACGGCCGCAAGGUUAAAACUCAAAGGAAUUGACGGGGACCCGCACAAGCGGUGGAUGAUGUGGAUUAAUUCGAUGCAACGCGAAAAACCUUACCUACCCUUGACAUGCCAGGAACUUGCCAGAGAUGGCUUGGUGCCCGAAAGGGAGCCUGGACACAGGUGCUGCAUGGCUGUCGUCAGCUCGUGUCGUGAGAUGUUGGGUUAAGUCCCGCAACGAGCGCAACCCUUGUCGUUAAUUGCCAUCAUUUAGUUGGGCACUUUAACGAGACUGCCGGUGACAAACCGGAGGAAGGUGGGGAUGACGUCAAGUCCUCAUGGCUCUUAUGGGUAGGGCUUCACACGUCAUACAAUGGUCGGUACAAAGGGUUGCCAAGCCGCGAGGCGGAGCCAAUCCCAGAAAGCCGAUCGUAGUCCGGAUUGCAGGCUGCAACUCGCCUGCAUGAAGUCGGAAUCGCUAGUAAUCGUGGAUCAGCAUGUCACGGUGAAUACGUUCCCGGGUCUUGUACACACCGCCCGUCACACCAUGGGAGCGGGUUCCGCCAGAAGUAGGUAGCCUAACCGCAAGGGGGGCGCUUACCACGGCGGGGUUCGUGACUGGGGUGAAGUCGUACAAGCUAGCCGUAGGGGAACCUGCGGCUG